RNAcentral lists this ribosomal RNA (468 nucleotides) under uncultured bacterium. RNAcentral's name for it is "partial 16S ribosomal RNA". It matches the Rfam family "Bacterial small subunit ribosomal RNA", at positions 28 to 507 of the family's 1533-position model. The record is from RNAcentral.
GACGAACGCUGGCGGCGUGCUUAACACAUGCAAGUCGAACGGAAAGGCCCUGCUUUUGUGGGGUGCUCGAGUGGCGAACGGGUGAUUAACACGUGAGUAACCUGCCCUUGACUUUGGGAUAACUUCAGGAAACUGGGGCUAAUACCGGAUAGGAGCUCCUGCUGCAUGGUGGGGGUUGGAAAGUUUCGGCGGUUGGGGAUGGACUCGCGGCUUACCAGCUUGUUGGUGGGGUAGUGGCUUACCAAGGCUUUGACGGGUAGCCGGCCUGAGAGGGUGACCGGCCACAUUGGGACUGCGAUACGGCCCAGACUCCUACGGGAGGCAGCAGUGGGGAAUAUUGCACAAUGGGCGGAAGCCUGAUGCAGCAGCGCCGCGUGCGGGAUGACGGCCUUCGGGUUGUAAACCGCUUUCGCCUGUGACGAAGCGUGAGUGACGGUAAUGGGUAAAGAAGCACCGGCUAACUACGUG